Molecule: ribosomal RNA, 292 nt
Filed under: uncultured bacterium
Lineage: Bacteria
Description: partial 16S ribosomal RNA
Rfam family: Bacterial small subunit ribosomal RNA
Source: RNAcentral
GUGCCAGCAGCCGCGGUAAGACGAGCUCCCCGAACGUUAUUCGGUAUCACUGGGCUUAAAGAGUUCGUAGGCGGUCUGGUAGGUGAGGUGUGAAAUCCCCCGGCUCAACCGGGGAACUGCGCUUCAAACCACCAGACUUGAGGGAGACAGAGGUGGGCGGAACAGAUGGUGGAGCGGUGAAAUGCGUUGAUAUCAUCUGGAACACCGGUGGCGAAAGCGGCCCACUGGGUCUUUUCUGACGCUGAGGAACGAAAGCUAGGGUAGCGAACGGGAUUAGAUACCCUAGUAGUCC